GAUGGCUCUGCACUGGGCAGUGAAGCACAGCAAUCUUGAGAUGGCAGAGAUGGUCGCCAAAACAGGCAUUGAUGUCAAUGCUAAAUCGCAUUGACAUGGCUCUCCCAAAAGGGGAUAUCCACUGCCCUGAUUUAUCUGAAUUUAAUCUCGCCAGGAAUUUACAGCAAGGCCAUUUUUAUUUGUUUCAAUGAGCUGCUGCCGAUGAAGGUUUAAUGGCCAUGAAGACAUCAACAUUAGGACAGUC
Lacerta agilis (Sand lizard) is the source of this 244-nucleotide long non-coding RNA. RefSeq lists it as uncharacterized. The record is from RefSeq and is a predicted model, not a curated record. Lineage: Eukaryota; Metazoa; Chordata; Lepidosauria; Squamata; Lacertidae. The transcript is spliced from 4 exons.